RNAcentral lists this ribosomal RNA (588 nucleotides) under uncultured bacterium. RNAcentral describes it as "partial 16S ribosomal RNA". It matches the Rfam family "Bacterial small subunit ribosomal RNA", at positions 355 to 1376 of the family's 1533-position model. The record is from RNAcentral.
UGGGGAAUAUUGGACAAUGGGCGCAAGCCUGAUCCAGCAAUGCCGCGUGUGUGAAGAAGGCCUUCGGGUUGUAAAGCACUUUUAUCAGGAGCGAAACGCUGUCGGCUAAUACCCGGCGGAACUGACGGUACCUGAGGAAUAAGCACCGGCUAACUUCGUGCCAGCAGCCGCGGUAAUACGAAGGGUGCAAGCGUUAAUCGGAAUUACUGGGCGUAAAGCGUGCGUAGGCGGUUUCUUAAGUCUGCUGUGAAAUCCCCGGGCUCAACCUGGGAAUGGCAGUGGAUACUGGGAGGCUAGAGUGUGUCAGAGGGUGGUGGAAUUCCCGGUGUAGCGGUGAAAUGCGUAGAGAUCGGGAGGAACAUCAGUGGCGAAGGCGGCCACCUGGGACAACACUGACGCUGAGGCACGAAAGCGUGGGGAGCAGACAGGAUUAGAUACCCUGGUAGUCCACGCCCUAAACGAUGCGAACUGGAUGUUGGUCUCAACUCGGAGAUCAGUGUCGAAGCUAACGCGUUAAGUUCGCCGCCUGGGGAGUACGGUCGCAAGACUGAAACUCAAAGGAAUUGACGGGGUCAUAGCUGUUUCCUG